UGGGGGAUAUUGCACAAUGGGCGAAAGCCUGAUGCAGCGACGCCGCGUGGGGGAUGAAGGCCUUCGGGUUGUAAACUUCUUUUGCUCUGCACAAGGCAUGCCUUUGGGGUGUGCUGAGUGUAGGGGUUGAUUAGCGCCGGCUAACUACGUGCCAGCAGCCGCGGUAAUACGUAGGGCGCGAGCGUUGUCCGGAAUUAUUGGGCGUAAAGGGCUUGUAGGUGGCUGGUUGCGUCUGUCGUGAAAGCUCAUGGCUUAACUGUGGGUUUGCGGUGGGUACGGGCUGGCUUGAGUGCAGUAGGGGAGGCUGGAAUUCCUGGUGUAGCGGUGGAAUGCGAAGAUAUCAGGAGGAAUACCGGUGGCGAAGGCGGGUCUCUGGGCUGUUACUGACGCAGAGGAGCGAAAGCGUGGGGAGCGAACAGG
This 420-nucleotide ribosomal RNA is filed under the name Fusobacteriota bacterium. RNAcentral describes it as "Fusobacteria bacterium partial 16S ribosomal RNA". It matches the Rfam family "Bacterial small subunit ribosomal RNA", at positions 355 to 776 of the family's 1533-position model. Lineage: Bacteria; Fusobacteriati; Fusobacteriota. The record is from RNAcentral.